This 222-nucleotide long non-coding RNA is filed under the name Prunus persica (peach). RNAcentral describes it as "long non-coding RNA (PPER_LNC003461)". The record is from RNAcentral. Lineage: Eukaryota; Viridiplantae; Streptophyta; Magnoliopsida; Rosales; Rosaceae.
CCUGUGAGAGCUCAAACUGUGAUGGUUAGUUUGAUUCUCAAUUUGAACAGCUCCCUGUCUUCCUGCUUAUCUCUUUUUGAAAGUAUGACCUGUUUAUUUUUUGGGAGAAUCACCCUUUUGUUGGAGUAGAGGAAAAUACCUCUAAAUAUUUUAUACAUAAAAUAUAAAGGUUUGAUCUUCUGAUGGCAGAGAUUUUUAGAAAGGUCUUCUCCUAGUUCUCCU